Molecule: long non-coding RNA, 239 nt
Filed under: Trifolium pratense (red clover)
Lineage: Eukaryota; Viridiplantae; Streptophyta; Magnoliopsida; Fabales; Fabaceae
Description: long non-coding RNA (TPRA_LNC006339)
Source: RNAcentral
AUUCACAUUCAUAGUAAAAUACCCGGUCCAAUUAAAUUUGUAGGGGUUAUGUGUUAAAAUAUAAAGGUGAGGGGAUAUUUUUUUCCUCAUAGUAAUAGAAUCUUUGGUUCUUCUCUAGAGACAACAUAAUAUAUAUAUAUUCACAACCAGUAUCCGACUUACUAGACCGUCUAAUUAAGUUCGGGGUCAGUUAAUAUAGAUUUUUUAGACGCAAACAUAAUAUAGACUUUAGAGUAAUG